Long non-coding RNA from Cimex lectularius (bed bug), 491 nucleotides. RefSeq lists it as uncharacterized. Lineage: Eukaryota; Metazoa; Arthropoda; Insecta; Hemiptera; Cimicidae. The record is from RefSeq and is a predicted model, not a curated record. The transcript has 3 exons.
CCUUACAGUGGUGAGUGCCGUGUCAACGCCUAAACCAUUGCGGCCAGCGACGCCCCUAACAAUUAUUAUUGUUCCACUUUUCAUAAUUAUUGUUAUGAAGUUCCAAUUACACACUUCCUCUAUACACUUAUGCACUUAGCGAAUGGAAUAUUGUUGAAUAUUCGCUCAACUUAGGCUGACUUUGGACACAAAAAAAGGACAUAAUUAUUUAUCCGAUCAGGGGAUAUUCUGCCUUGCACGCGUUCUAAAGUGCCGGUGUUUUUGAAAAAAAGCCGUUUUGUGAGUAUGUCGGGUUCGAAUGCAGAGCGGCUGGAUUCGAACCCGCAACCUUUAACUAACAGUGAUGAGUUAUCUAUUGCAUUCACUAUACAAUAAGUAUUGUACUGACGACUUACUAUCUAAACUACAUACUUGUACUGACUCCUUGACGAACAAAAAUAAAAUACAUAAAUAAAAAAUAUUUAAAAAAUAAAGAAAGCAAUUUCACCGCA